AUGGCUCGCAAGAAGGUGGCUCGCAAGGCGACCCUCCAGUACAUCCCCAAUGACUCGACCCGGCGCAAUAGAUUCAAGAAGCGCCUCAAGGGCCUGAUGAAGAAGGCGGACGAACUAGCCGUCCUGUGCGAUGCCAAGACCUGCGUAUUGGUGUACGAUGAGGGCAAGGCAGCGCCGAAGGUGUUCCCUUCCCAGGCCGAGGCGGUGGGUAUCCUGAAUCAAUUCAAAAGCAUGCCGGAGUUGGGGCGCUGCAAGGAGGUGAUGAACCAGAAGCGUUUCAUUAGCAAGCGCAUUGACAAGCUCCGGGAACAGGUCGACAGGACCCGUCGCGAGUGCGAGGACGGCGAGAUCAGGUCCCUCCUUCACAAAACCAUGCAUGGCGACCUCUCGGGCCUCGUUGGCCUCAACAUCGAGGAGCUCACCAAAGUUGGCUACAAGGUGGACGUGCUUCUCAAGAGCAUUAGCGAACGCAUGGCAAAAAUCCAUUCUCAGGCGCCGCCGCCAGCUCCAUGUGUCGCCACUGGCAGCAUAGACAUGGGGUCUCCCGCGUUGUAUCCGGCACCACCUCAGCAGGAGAGCCGACUUGACAUGGUGAGCUCCGGAGGGGACCUCGACACCCUGGUCUAUGGUGGCUACGCCAGCGCCAACUUCUCUAGCAGUGGUAUGAUGAUGCAGAUGCAGUCCAUUGAUAUGGGGUUCGGUUCGAGUCCUUUCCCUCCCAUGUAA
RNAcentral lists this ribosomal RNA (726 nucleotides) under Triticum aestivum (bread wheat). RNAcentral's name for it is "partial small subunit ribosomal RNA". The record is from RNAcentral. Lineage: Eukaryota; Viridiplantae; Streptophyta; Magnoliopsida; Poales; Poaceae.